UGGUCACCAAAACCUAAAGAUGGUGAUAAG
Molecule: non-coding RNA, 30 nt
Filed under: Mus musculus (house mouse)
Lineage: Eukaryota; Metazoa; Chordata; Mammalia; Rodentia; Muridae
Source: RNAcentral